RNAcentral lists this ribosomal RNA (253 nucleotides) under uncultured bacterium. RNAcentral describes it as "partial 16S ribosomal RNA". It matches the Rfam family "Bacterial small subunit ribosomal RNA", at positions 524 to 776 of the family's 1533-position model. The record is from RNAcentral.
UACAGAGGCCUCAAGCGUUGUUCGGAAUCACUGGGCGUAAAGGGUGCGUAGGCGGCGCGGAAAGUCGGGGGUGAAAUCCCGGAGCUCAACUCCGGAACUGCCCUUGAUACUCCCGCGCUUGAGAACUGGAGAGGACAUCGGAAUUCACGGUGGAGCAGUGAAAUGCGUGGAUAUCGUGAGGAACACUAGUGGCGAAGGCGGAUGUCUGGACAGUAUCUGACGCUGAGGCACGAAGGCCAGGGGAGCGAACGGG